AGGACGAACGCUGGCGGCGUACUUAACACAUGCAAGUCGAACGAUGAUCCGGUUUCGGCCGGGGAUUAGUGGCGAACGGGUGAGUAACACGUGGGCAACCUGCCCUCCACUCUGGGAUAACUCCGGGAAACCGGGGCUAAUACUGGAUAUGAUCUUCGGGCGCAUGCCUGGGGGUGGAAAGUUUUUCGGUGGAGGAUGGGCCCGCGGCCUAUCAGCUUGUUGGUGGGGUGAUGGCCUACCAAGGCGGUGACGGGUA
This 256-nucleotide ribosomal RNA is filed under the name uncultured bacterium. RNAcentral describes it as "partial small subunit ribosomal RNA". It matches the Rfam family "Bacterial small subunit ribosomal RNA", at positions 26 to 285 of the family's 1533-position model. The record is from RNAcentral.